AUUAUGUAAUAAAUUAGAAAGUGUAUCACAUCAUUACACGAGCUCUUUUUGUAUAGUUGCUGCUGGGAGAGGGUUCAUUGCAAAAGACAUGGGCUUCCAGAACACAGCAGGCCCACAGAAAGAACAAGCAGUAGCGCUGCGUUCAUCGUCAGACCAAUCCAUCUUCUAUCGUUGCUCCUUUGACGCAUUCCAGGACACCCUCUACACUCAUUCAAAUCGCCAAUUCUACCGCGAUUGCCAAAUUUCAGGGACUGUAGACUUCAUCUUUGGAAAUGCGGCAGUGGUUUUUCAAAACUGUAGCAUACAACCAAGGCAACCAAUGCCACGCCAAUUCAAUACCAUCACUGCCCAAAGCAAGUCUGACCCAAAUCAAAACACAGGCAUGUCAAUCCAAGGGUGUCGAAUGAAUCCCUUCGACAACCUGACAGCUCCCACAUAUCUUGGAAGGCCCUGGAAGGACUAUGCCACUACAGUGAUUAUGCAAUCUUACAUCGGAGGCUUCUUAGACCCCGCGGGAUGGGCUUCCUGGGAAGCAAAUGUUAGUACUGUUUUCUAUGCUGAGUUUCAAAAUUUUGGACCUGGGUCAUUGACAGAUAGAAGAGUGGGAUGGCCUGGUGUUAGGCUCAAUAUUACUUCUGAAGAGGCAAAGAAAUUCACAGUGGAGGUUUUUCUUCAUGGAAGCCAGUGGCUACCACAAGCCCAUAUAAUAUUUGACGGGACAUUGUGAAAAAGAGAGAGAUGCAUAUUUUCCCUGAAUUAUUGGUGUUUACAUUGCUCAUCAUAUGCUUAUUGCAAAUAAAUUACUAGAAGAGCACAAAUACAUUUUACAGAAUCACAAUCUACAAACAUGCAAAUCACCAGCAACGGAACUUCUUUCAGAUUAUAAUGAAUUUGUAGGCAAAAAAAAAUUACACAAAUCUACAAAUCUGCAAUAUCAUCUUGCCACCACAAAUGACAAUCUAAACAAAUCUGCAAAUCUAUACGGUCGCAUUUGACAUAAUUACAUAAAUCUGCCAGGUGAGGCGGCGAUGAUUUGAACAAAGGCAUGAGUUGAGUCUGUCAUAGUCGCAGAGGCGAUGACCCAUGGCCAUGUGUUGUCUGUCACAGAGUCAAGAUGGGAGCUAUGGAGGGACAUGCAAAAUUGGAUAAGAGGGGAUGAGCAA
RNAcentral lists this unclassified non-coding RNA (1163 nucleotides) under Hevea brasiliensis (rubber tree). Lineage: Eukaryota; Viridiplantae; Streptophyta; Magnoliopsida; Malpighiales; Euphorbiaceae. The record is from RNAcentral.